UUUCCUACACUUAUUAAUUAUUCUUUUUCUUUAAAAGGAUUGUGCUUUUUCAAUUCUAACUUGAAUUAUAAUCAACAUUUUAUAUUUUUUUUCUUAAAUUUAUAUGUUUAUUUUUGCAUUUAGGGACAUGUAGAGUUUUUGUAAGUAUUAUGUUUUUGUUGGUGAUGUGCGUCUUUUUAUACUAUGUGUUUUUUUAUCCAUAGAUAAGUACUAUAUAUAACAAAUAGUUAGUGCUACGGACAUAAUUUAUAAUAAUUAAAAAAUAAUUAUAUUGUUAUUAUCAUACCAUGAAUAUUAGCUUCAGAAAAGGUUACUAUAGAAAUAUCAUAUGCUUAUGGAGUCUCAAAAUUUUUUAUUAAGAAUAAAACGAUCAACGGUCUCAUAAAAAAUACUAUUUGAAAUUAUUAACAGUGUUACUACUAAUCCCUACACCACAACUCAAAGAAAUAGAAUAAUUUUGAACUAAAGUUCAAAUAUAAUGGAUAAUUUUGGACUUUUUAUUUCAUUUUCACAAUUGUACAGGGUAUAUUAGGAAAUUCACACAGAGAUAAGGACCUUUUAGGUUUCAGAGAAAUCUAUUUAAGACGACGGUAGAGUGAAAGUUUAGCCUCAAAACUACUUGAUCUUAUCUGAGCAGUGGGCUGCGGAGAAGACGGCGACGGAGAAUGUGACCGGCGUAGUUGGGGAGGAGCUACCGCCUUACAUAUAUAGGGUUAAUGGAGGCUCCGUUCAUCUCUUUCUGGCCGGUCAAUUUUUCGGGACCCCUUUUCCCUGCUUUACUGCGAUGAAGACUGUUCGCCAUCUGAGCCUAUCGAAUAAAUCGGGGCGAUGAGGGUUUGAGCGGACUUGACCAUCAUAAAGUUUUAAUUUUUAUGUAAUUUAAGUAUUUUUGUUUCAAAUUGCUGAAGAACAGAUAUCCAGAUUUUGAAAAAAAAUUAUUUUUGUGUGUUAUUUAUUUGAGUUCAUGCAUUUCUCUUGAUUUAAUUUGCUAUAUUUGAAUCUAACCUUCCUUUUGGCUAUAGAUUUUGAUAUUUGAGUUUUUGAAGUUAGCAUUUUACUCAGAAAAAUUUUGAAUUUGCUACAGCAUCAGAGCAUUUUGUUCCUUCUGUAUUCAGAUCUGAAAUGUUGCUUCUUACUUGUGAGCACCUCUUGUUUUAUGUGGGGAUGUUCCUGUUUCGGAAGCAUAUAUUAAUUCUUUUACCAGUUAUAAACAGCGUGAUGAAUAUUUCAUUUCUGCAUCACGCUACCUGUCUUCUGGUACAAACUCAUGUGAUCUAUGCAAUGAUAUGAUGAUCUGUGUCUUUAAUUGUAGCACCAGCAUAUAACAUGAUUUAAAGAUAUGGAAGACUGUAGUAUUUGACAGCUAUAGAACAUCUAAAUUUUAUAUGGUAUAUGUUAUGGGUUUGGGAUCAGGGUAGAACUAUGUCAUGAAGAAGCUGUGGCUUUGUAUUUGGUUGAUUCUGCCUGAAAAGUGUCCAACUUUUGAUGUCUUUUAUGCCUCUUUUGGGUUGUCCUCUAUCCCCUUUAUGACAGUAUAGCAAUUCAAUGUCACGAAUGACAGAUUUUUGCUCUUGCCUGAACUGGAAGUUGAGUUUGAAGCUUUAGCAGAUGCAGGUCAUGGCUGAAGGCUGUUGAAACAAGGCCUUCCUUUGAUUGCGAGUGUUGAGUCUAUACCAACCUUAACCCCCUAGGUUGGGGUUCGAAGAGUGUAGAAUGUAUGCAGCUCUUUCCCUCUGCCUUUAGAUGGUAGAGCGGCUGAACGAAGACGAUUCAGACUAUGGAUUGAUGUAAAACUAAUUGGAUUUCCCUCAAUACUGUGUUUUAUUGAGGUCCAUGUCUUCCUUGGAAAUGGAUUGGCUGCUGAUAUGUUUUAGCAUUUGAUACAUACUUGUAGUUACUGAAAUAUUUUUAUACUAUGAAUUCGAAAAUUGAGAAAUGCAACUUUAUUUUGUUCAUUCAUUAUACUCUCUUUGGAUUAAAUCUUUUGGCAAGUGAAACAUGAAAUGAUGGUAAGAAUGCAGUCUUUACUAGAACUCAUUUCAUUUGAAUACCAGGCUCACAUAAAAUAUUUAUAGCAACCAUAUACGGUGACAUUAUGUACAUUAAAACACACACUAGAUAGUUGUGCAUACAUAACCUCUAUAAUACAGUUUACAGAUGAAUCUCAAAAUCAUCCUGGACGACUCAUCUUUUCAUAUGGAACUUUUAGAGAUAAGUCUACCCUCCAUUCAAGACGGAGGGUGUUAGAAUGUCUGUCUCACAUGAUGAGGAAAGGACUGUUGUUCCUUUUUUAUAGUCUUGAGCAUAGCUUUUCGAGUUUACUUAGAUCAAGGUCCGAUGUCUUAACAAACUUUUAACUCUUUGAGUCCUGUUUGGCCGUAUGCAAAGUUGAUGCUAGAGGAAGAGGAAGUGGUAAUGGGGAGAAUGUAUUGGGAUGAGAUGAAGAUUGUCUACUUGUUUUUAUCACCUUAACUUCUUCUAAGGCAAGAGGCACUGGUUCUUCUGUUUUUGGUGUGUAAGCAAAAGAUAGGUCCUUAUUAGCCGCUAGGGCAAGUAGCUCUUUCUCCUCGAGCCCUUUAACUGGUCCGAGGCUGCAACAAUCUGCACCAUACUUUGUCAAUGCAUCUUUGAAUUUUUUUAUCUGCACCAGGAUAUCGUGGCCGGUGUUAGAAGGAUAAAAGGAAGGCGUUGACAACAACAAGCAAACGACAGCAUUGCUCAGCUGUUGAAUCUCUUAGUCAUCAAGAUCAAUUCAAUGAGAGACAUUGCAGAAAUUAAGAAGGAAGCUGCAUAUAAUGUCAUUAACAGAUUGCUGACAUAUCAGAUAAACUAACCGUGGCAUUGGUGCAACUAAAGCUACAAAGACGACCUUCAGCACCUCUAUAGAAACGGAAAAAUGGGAGAACAUGUACGUUCAGCGAGUAACACAUUGACUUGUGUUCCUCAUAGUUCACAUGCAAAAACUGCACAUCCGGAUUCAUCUCUGCUAACUGACAUAUCUGCAUUUCCCAGUUUUAACAAGACUAAGAUCAUUAAUCCUAUCUUACUGAAAUGGACAGCCAACAAAGUGCAGCAUUAGACAACAAGAAAUGUAUUACCUUUGGAUGAAGGGCUUUGCAGCCUCCACAGCCAGGGGAAAGGAAAUCAACAACGACUAGUUUAUCCCCACCGUUUAGAAGGGUGUCAACGAGGUCUUGAGCACCCGUCACCUCUUUCAUAUUCGGUUGAAGUCCUUUCUCCCACCAUUUAGGAGCUCUCUUGAUACCUAUGCUCAUCUGUGUUUAUGUAGCGCGAGAUGAAAAGGUACAACUUUUUAUAUACUAUAAUAUCAAGCCUGCCAAAUUUUUAAAAAAAAAAGAACAUACUAUCGAGUGAGCCAAUAUUAACCAAUCAUGCUCUGAAUUCGACCAGAAAAUUUCUACGCAGAAAUAGAUUUUUAACACAAGAUCAUGGGAAAAAGAUUGAAAUUUUUUACUUACUUAUCAACUGAUAACGAAAAUUAACAUAAGAAAACUCCGUAUUAUAGCGAGUCCUAGUGGUCAAUGAGUUGAAUUGGGAACAUGAAGCCUCUUAUUUAAUUCCUAUCAAAGGAAAAAACGGAAGGUACCUUCUUCCUUUUUGUUCGAACCAGAUAAUUGUUACAUAUAGUUUCAUAAUAUAUCAUAUUGAAUUGUAUUAUUUCUAUGGAUACAACGUUUAGAUAAAUUAUAUGCUUCUUGUCAUAGUAUAUAUAAUGCUACACAUCAGCCAUUUGAAGUACAAUACUAUGAGGAAAGUAUAGUACAAUACAAUAAACAUAGAUCUAACCUACGAUACAAUAAAAUUUAAGAAACGGUCAAAACUAACCUUAUAUUUAAAUUCUAAACUUAACAAUACAAUAUACAACACGUAAGUUGUAACAACCAUUUUUAAGCACUAAUUUAUAGAUUUAACUAUACAAUACAACAUAACAAUGAAAAUAAACAGUGUGUCUUAAGAUUAAACACAAUACAACAUUGAUACAGGUUACAGUCUUACAGAGAAUCUUUGAUUACUUGAUACCGGUUACAGUCUAAGAGACUAGAAAGAAAAGAAAACGAACCUGAGCAGUAGCAACUGCUGAUUUGUGAUAUCUUCUAUUGAAUUUCACUGGAAAAACACAAAUCGCAUGUUGAUUAGAAUGAUAAAUACCACUAGAAUUCAAAAUUGAUGGAAGAAAUACUGCCUUAUUCAACAAUUUCUCCAUGGAACCUGAGAUUGGAAAUUGGGAAUAUGAAAAAAGUUUUUUUAAAAAAAAAAAAAUUCUUCAAUGAAGAGUAAAGUGAAGGGGUACAUAAAUAAAAGGUUUGAAAAAUGUGAGAAAUGAACAAAUGGCAAUAUUAACUUAUUCCUUGGACGUCAAAAAAAGCUAAAAAUUUGCGAUAACGUGUCAAAUGUUGAACCAAAUAGGAAUAGAAAAAGAAAUAUAUAUGGAUAACAAUAAUACUACAUUAUAAGAGGUGUCAAAUGUUCGACUAAUUUGAAUACGCGACCUCCAAACUUUAAUUAAUAUAUUAUUAUUGUUAUUUACGUGGAAAAUAUUUUUUAUUAUAUAUAUUUUAGUUUUAAUUACUAAAGUUUAAACUCAAUCUUUUUUAAUCUCUCGUUCGAUAUUUAAUAUUCAUCUUAUAAUUUAAUUAUUUUAGAUUCAUAUUGCAUAAAGCUUCGUUACCAAAAGAAUUUCCAUAAGGAUGGCUCGAACUAUGUCUAUAUUCGAGGCUUGAACAUAUACUUAUCAAAUCUAUUCUAUUUCUCUUACGACGAAUAAUCUUUUUUUUCUAAAAAAAAUCGAGUUUAUUUAUUGAUUAUGUGUUAUCUAGAGAUAUUUUUUCGUCAUACCUCCAUGGAAUAGGAAUCAUAUCUAUAUAUAUUUUAUCAUGCUACGCUUUUUAGAUUUCACCUAUAAAUUACACUAAUUUAGGCAAGAAAUAUAAUAAACUGGAUGUUUCUAUUACUUAAAGUUAUUUGCCUCACAUUGUCUUUUUUUAACAAAAAAAUCCGAUGUUCAGUAUUUUUAUUGAAAUUUCAAUUAAAUUCGAGUUGUGCACAAUAGUGUCCACUUAGGGAUGGAGCUUUAGUAAAAAAAAAUUCAUUUUCAAUGUAAAACACUCUCACAACUCAUAUUGGUACAAAACUAUGAUUAUGGGUAACUCAUGAUCCUUUUAGUAAUACAUGUUGGCAUCAAGCCAUAAAAAUGUCAUCAAGAACAAAGACGUAUUCAAAAUUUUGAGAUAAUGGGUGUACUAUUAUGAGAAGGUGGAUCUAAGAUAUAAAUUUGAUCGACUUAAUGUUUGAGUUCUUAUCACUAAAAAUAACUAAAAUUUUAAAAUUAUACGUCCAAAAUUAUUUUUACCUAUUCAACCCACUUAGAGAGACAUUACACAAUUUUAGAAAAAAAAAAAUAAAACGAGAUAAAUGUAAGAUUGAAAUUUCUUACCUCACUUAUAGAGGUGCACCCAAUCAUAAUUGCACGGUAUAUAUUUCAACUAUGAAUACACAUAUCUAUAUUUAAAUAUUUUUUUUAAAAUAUAACAUUACUAUAUAUAUAAUUUUAUGAGGGUAACAUGGGUUCACCCAACAACUCGUCACCAAGGUAGGUUAAGCGUGAGGCUAGUUAAACAUUUGUUUUUAUAAACCCAAAAAAAAUCAAUAUUAUUUUAUGGUUAUAAUUUUUCUUAUAAACAAUAAAGACCAUUAUAAAAAAAUACAAUUAAUCUUUUCUUGAAAAAAUGAAAAAUUAUUUAUUUUUGGUUAGAAAUAUUUUAGAACUUUGAAUUAAACUAACUCAAUUUUUCAUAUUAAUAAAUAAAGUUUUUCAUAACAAUACCCAAAAUAAUAUAUUGCAAACAAAUGAGUAGCUCUUAUUAACUAGAAUUAAUCAAUACAUUUAUAAAUAAUCAUAGUGGAAAAUCUAUUAGAGUAUACAUUUGCUUAUGUAUGAAUGAGUCCCUUUAUUUUUCAAGGUAACACCUUUUUUGUGUUUUCAUAUCAUAAAUUAGAUUCUUUGAUACAGUUAAAUAAUAUAUUUUUAUCUGUAAAUAUCAAAUCAAAUUCAUCUUAGGUACUCGAUCAACAUAAUAUAUACAGAAUAACUAUGGAGAACGUAAUGAUGUUCUACAUUGGUGAGUACUAUUUUUGUUUUUCAUCUGAAAUUACGUAUUAAUCACAUCUAAUCAUGGACUAUAAUGACAUCGAUGAUUUCUAAGGAAAAAAACAAAAACAAUAUAAUUAGAAAUUUAAAAAAUCUCAUAUAAAGCUUCAUAACACUGGAUUUAAAAUGGUGCAUGCGUGAAUCUCAUCUUAGUUUACAGAUCAAUUGAGAGAAUUUUUUUAAAUUUGAACAUAACUCCAAAAGAAUACUAAAGAAUGUUUCUACGUAUAUGUAUAAAUAUACAAAGUUAUCGUAUAAUGUUCUUUUUACAGUGAUACCUUUUUUUUUACCGUGCAUCAGAAUAGCCGCUUGACAAUGUUUACAAUUAGUUGAAAAAUUAAAUGAAGAUCGUGGUUUCAGUUUAGAAUUCAAAAAUAAUACAUAAAUUUGAUAUUUUUUUUCAAAAAAAAAGAAGUUAAUACUUAACUUGAAAAUAUUAUUUGUAUUAUGCGAGAUGUUAUAUUAAAUAUACUUUGUAAUAUCGAAAAAUUAUUUUCGAUUGUGCAUCAGUAUAGUGGUUGUGUAUAGGAAAUAAGUAUCUCACUCAAACAUGAAUUGAUUAAGUCGAACAAUUCAUAUCGAACCAGCAAGAUGAAAAUGAAGAAGAUUGUUGAGUUUGUUUCCCCUUGUAGAAAUAUACAUUUGCUCAUGUAUAAUUGUGUUAUUUUAUUUUUCAAGAUAAUACUUCUUUUGUGUUUUCAUAUAAUAAGACUCAUUUUCCACUUAAGUAGCAUAUUUUCACUUGUAAAUAUUCAACCAUAUUCAUCUUAUGUACCUGAUCAACACAAUACAUGUUGAAUUAUAGAGAAACAAUGAAUUUUUUUUAUUUUCUAACUCAUCUUACAUACUUAAUUAACAUAAUACAUGUUAAAUUACAAUAAUUUCAAUUCUUUAGCUUCAAAUAAUCUUUACUAAUCUAAUAAGGACAAGUAUGCAACUUAAAGAGCAAGGCUCUAUGAUCAAUGGAUAGUAAUUUGGGAAACAAUUCCAAAUCAUGAGAUAUAAAUGCUAAUAUGUUAUCGAUACUAACUAUAAAUGAGUGACUAUUUUAUAUAUAUAAAAAAAAUAGUAAUAUAUGAAAAUAUGUAAAAUCUUUCAAUUGUGUUUUUCAAAAUAUUUAUUGAGUGAAAUUUGUUUAGAAAUGUAUUUCUCGAGUUAAAUCAUACUUGACAUCAAUUGUAAACUUAAACAUGUAGUAAUUAGUAGAUACAGUAAUACAAAACAUUUAGUUUUGAAAAAGAAAAAUAAUUUUAAUUAAUAUCACACUCUUAACUACGUACGAGGUAUAUAUAUGUAUACUAAGGGCUUGUUUGGCCAUACGAUAUGGUAUCAUGAUAUGAAAUUGAAGUUUUAUUUGGACAUGCGAUAUGAAAUUUUGGUGUUGUAUAUUUUCUCAUAUACAUAAAAUCUCAUAACUUCUAAAACUAUUAAAAUAACUCCAAUUGUUUAUUCAAUAUUAUCAAAUAAACAAAAAAAAUCAUAAAAUCGUAUAAUAAUUACCAAGUUAUAUGUUCUCAAAUUAAGUAAUUGUUUGAUCAAUAUAUUUGAGUAAAAAUGAAAUACCUUUCACGGGCUCUUCAAAAUUUAUUGUUCAACAAUCGUGAAGUAUAAGUUAAAGUGACUAUAUGUUAGUUAGAAUAAUAAAUUUUAUGUCGGUGAUAAUAAUAAAUUUCAAAAAGCAAUGAUGUGAUUAUAAAUUGUAUUUACAUAUGAAAUAAAUAGUUAUUUAAUAUAAAUAUGGAGUUAUUUUAACAAAAUAUAAAUUCGUGGAUCAAUUUUUGUAUUAAAAUAACUAAAUCACGAUAUAGUAAUCUCAUAUGAAUCCGUAUCAUUAUUCUUGAAGAAUAUAAUAUCACGUCUCUUGAUAUGAAAUCAACGUAAAAUUACUUGUCUAAAUACUGAUUUCAUCUCAUGACGCGCCAAUUUCUACCGACUAUUAAAAAAAAAGAGACAAAAUUGGGCUUCGAUAGAGUCCUAAACCAUCUAGAUGAAUUGAUGAUUUUUUUUCACGUUAAAUAAAUAAAUAAAAAGUCUCCUAUACUUCUCCUCCUCUUCUUCCUCCUCAUUCUUCAUCAAUUGGCCCUAAAUUUUCGAAACCCUAGUUUUUCCUCUUCAUCUUUAUAGCGAAAAUACGUAUACAUACACAUAAUACAUAGGGUAUUUCUGUUAAUUGAAAGAAUCGAGGUGAUUCGAGGGAGAUCUGAGGAUUUCCCUGGAUCUAUUCAGCGGAUUUUGGUAAAUUUUUUCGAAAUUUCUGUUUCAUAUUGUUUUAUUGGUUAAUAUUCAUGAUCGAAAUGAAAUUUAAUUGAUGUUUCAAUUUUUUGUUAUGUAAUUAGGGCGUUGACGAUUUUUUUGAUAUUUUAGCGGUGAUAUUAAUGAGUUUAUUUGCUCGUUGUAUUGGAUUUUUUUGUUUCGGUUGUAUUGUUGAUGUAAUCUUAGGAAAAUCAAGUAUAUGGGGUGAUUUUUUUUGGUUUAUUUGGAAAAAUAUAGUCUUGUUUAUAGGUUUUGCUGCCAAGAUAGAUGAAGGUAGUCAAGCCCCUAGGGUUUUUGGUCUAGUAUUGAGAACUCAACAAAUGACGUGUGCUUUAGGUGCGAAAAGCCGGUUAUUUAAGUAGAGAUGGGUAGAGGGGGUGGAUUCCACCUGUUUGUUGUAUUGUUGAUGGAAUCAGGUAGAUGUGUUUUUUUGGGUGUAUUUGGAAGAAUAUAGUCCUGUUAAUAGGUCUUGUUAAUAUACCUUGCUGCCAAGAUAGAAGAAGCUAGUCAAGCCCUUAAGUCUUUGGUUUAGUGGUGAGAGCCCAACAUAAAAGCUGGCUAUUUAUGUGGAGAAGGGUAGACCUGGUUAUCCUAUCUGUUCAGCUAGUAUAUGGAUAUUUUAGGAUUGUGGUUUUGUAUCUAGUCAAGAAAAGAUUUGUCGUUCUUUCUUUCUUUUAAAGAAGUCAUUAAUUGCAGCCUGUAUCUGUUAUAUGGCCAUUUAAAUAUUAUUAUUAGUUUGUUGAGUGUUAAUCGGCGUUCAAAUUAUCUACAUUAAGAAGAAAAACCAGUUGUUCAUCAUUUUGAAACCCUUUGGCAUUUGGGGAUUUUCUGAAUUCCAUAUUUUUGUUAUACUUCUGAUGGAAUCAUUGGAAAAUCAGAUUAUGAGUUGUUCUUUGGGUGUAUGUCGAAAAAUAUAGUCUUGUUUAUAGGUUAUGCUGCCAAGAUAGAGUAAGGUAGUCAAGUCCCCAGGGUUUUGGGCUAGUGGUGACAGCGCAACAGAUGAUAUGUGGCUAACACGCAAAAACAUAUUUUUUGAUUGGUGAUAUUCAUGAUUGAAUUGAAAUUUGAUUGAUGUUACAAGUUUUUGUUAUUUAAUUAGGGCGUUGACGAUAUUUUUAAUACUUUCUUUUGCGGUGACAUUAAUGGGGUUAUUGUUUUAUUGUAUUUGGACUUUUUUGCGUUGUAUUGUUGAUGGAAUCUUAGAAAAAUCAGGUACAUGGGUUGUUUUUUUGGGUAGAUCGGUACACCCGGUUGUCGUAUCUGUUCAGCUAGUAUAUGGAUAUUUUUGGAUUGUGGUUUUGUAUCUACUUGGAGAAGACUUGUUGUUUAUUAUUCCUUUUAAAGAAGUCAUUAAUUGCAGUUUGUAUCUGUUAUGGCCAUAUAGAUAUCAUUGUUAGCUUGUUGAGGGUUAAUCUGCCUUUAAAUUAUCUACAUUAAGAAGAAAAACCGACUGUUGACCAUUUUAAACCCUUUCUGCUAUGUACAUUCGCCUAGAUUCAUUUCCGAAUUCUAUUCUGGUUUCUACAAUGUAUCCUUCUUUAAUGUGUGAAUGAUUGCAUUUCUAAUUUUCUUCUUUUAUUUUCACAUUUUCCCUUCUUGAUAUCUGAUUGUGCUAUCGUGCCGCAGACUGGAUAGAUUGAUGAAUAAUGGCCAUUCAGAUGGAUAGCAGUUUAGAUCAUUCGUCACGGGAACGCGUUCAGCGGCUUUUCAACAAGGUCGGUAUUUGUUGUAUCGCCUCAUUGCAUUACCAUUGGAAUUAUAGAUAUCUAGAAUGAUUUAUCAUAAGACCAAGAUAGUGAGUAUAUUACUGACUCACAUACAUAGUUAAUGUUUAAAACUUUUAUUGACCUGCACAAGUUCUUGUUGUAUAUGCAGGUUCAAUGAGUUGUAUUCAUUUAAUGCUUAGAGAUAGUAAUGUGUAUCUUCUUGUUUGGAACAUGUAAUUGACAUUUUCGUUGAUUUUGUUAAGAAUGUGGAGCUGGAUAACAAGCGUAGGAAAGCAGCACAAGCUAGAGUAUGUUCUGACCCCAACGCAUGGCAACAAAUGCGUGAAAACUAUGAAGCUAUCAUCCUUGAGAAUCAUGCUUUUUCUGAACAACAUGAAAUAGAGUACGCCUUGUGGCAGUUGCAUUAUAGAAGAAUUGAAGAACUGCGUGCACGCUUCAAUGCUGCAAUAGCUUCAAGUGGAUCAACCUCUCAGACUGGGAAAGGUCCACCUCGUAACGGUUCGGAUAACAUCAUAAAGAUCCGGACGCAGUUCAAGACUUUUCUGUCAGAAGCAACUGGCUUCUAUCAUGAUUUGAUGGUGAAAAUCAGGGCAAAGUAUGGCCUGACAGUAGGAGGUUUCUCUGAUGAUCCAGGGGAUCAGAUUCCUUCUUCUAAUGAAGCUAAUAAGUCUAUUGAGGUGAAGAAAGGCUUGGUAUCCUGCCAUCGUUGUUUGAUUUAUCUGGGUGAUCUUGCUCGGUACAGAGGCUUAUAUGGUGAGGGUGACUCUAAAGCUCGUGACCUUGCGGCAGCAUCAAGUUAUUACACGCAAGCUUCUUCAUUGUGGCCAUCAAGUGGCAACCCUCAUCAUCAGGUAUCUUUUUUUUAAUUUGGUUUUGUUCUGAAUGACCAUUGACAAAUCUUUUCAACUGUUGGAGGGUUUGAGUUAGAGAAUAGUGAUCAAUAACUUAUCAUUGAUUAAUAUUUCUAUGCGACAGAUAUCUUAUGUAAAAAUUGCUGAUUCUGUGUUUUCUCAGCUUGCAAUAUUGGCCUCCUAUUCCAGUGAUGAGUUGGUGGCAAUCUAUCGGUAUUUUCGUAGUCUUGCAGUAGAGAAUCCUUUUACGACUGCAAGGGACAACCUGAUCAUUGCAUUUGAGAAGGUAAAAAACUUAUUUAGUUGUUGCUUUAAGAGCUUUCAUCUUUGCAUCAGAUCUUUGAAAUGUGUCUUUCUGUCGUCUGUCUUCUUGACAUUUGUUAAUUGGAAAAAGUUAUUUGGAGACGUUGCAAUAGCUUUGUUGUGCCAAUCCCAAAGGCAUAACCAAAUAAUCAUAUUUCAAAUUAUGGAUUUUCCGCCUGGAAUGAAUCAAGGAACUAAGGAUGUUCCUAACAUAAGAUGAUCAAAUCCAUGGUUGAGAAAGUUCCAUUCUUGAUAGAGGUGAUAAUAAAGUAAAAGGAAAUUGAUCCAACCUGAAGUUGUUAGGUCUGUAAUAAUAAACUUUUUCACCGAUUUUAAUUAUGCAACAUUGUCUUCUAUUUUCCGUUCUUGUCUUAUUGGUGUACUGUGAUCAACUGUUCCCACAAUUAUAAGGCGACUCUGCGCAUCUUUGAUUUUGUCUCUUGUUCCUUAAAAUUUUGAUCUGGGUAGGUAUUUUGCUUCCUAUCCCAAGUCUUAACAGUGAUUAAUUUUCAAAAACAUGAUUAGAAAUCUCUUAAAAAGAAAGAAAGAAGAGGAAUUGGGUAAGUUAAAAGUCUCCUGCGAAAAGCGACUGGGGAUAAGUAUGCAAUAAUUGUUCCUGUUAAUGUAGACAAUUUCGUGUCAUGUGUAGAAAACCUUGUUGUGUAGGUUCUCUAUUUGUAUUUGUUUAUCACUUAUACAGCGUUCCCACACAAUUAAACCUUUACUUUGUUUUGAGAAAAAAAGAAUACAUGUCAAUACUUGUGUAUGUUCCUAUAUUUGGAAUCCUAUUAUUGUUAGUGUUAUUAUCAACAAUUGUUGUAUGCUUAAUAUGUACAGGUUUAUUUAUUUUCUCCCGGCCUUGGUUCUGUGGUUGUUUAUGUUUUCCCCCUCCCUUUGUCCCUUUUCCUGAUGUGUACUAAGUAGCUUCAUUAUGCUUCUUGUGUCAUGGAAGUAAUUACUUACCCAAUCCAAGAUAAUUUACUAUUAAUCUUUUGAGGGUGAUAAACUACUUAUAUGGAUUGGUAAAAUGAAAAAGAAAUAUGAAUUACUGUAUUAUUAAGAGAGAAGAAUGACAUAGAACAUAGGUGUAGCUUAUGUUAAACAGUAUAAUUAUGAACUUUUUUUUUUUUAAAAAAAAUAGACAAAAUACUACUUGUAGGAAGUUCUUGUGAUCUUGUAGUGGAACUUUGAUUUUCAUCUAUCAGUUGUGCUGGGAGCGUGAACUUCAAUUUGCACCUUUUUUCUCUGGUUUGUCAAUGAGUGAUCAAGAUGUGAUUAUCUAGUAUAUAUUUCGUAAGUGUUCAAGUUCUGCCUGAAAGAGAAAUUUUUGUAGAAGUUUUCUGCACAUGUUUUCUUUCCGUUUGGACUGUUGGCUAUGUGGAUGGUCUUAGUGUUAAUUGAUUUCUCUGUUAUGGCAGAAUCGUCAAUAUUUCUCCCAGCUGCCAGUGGAUGCUAAGGCUUCGUCUACCAAGGUAACUCCUUCCCGAACAACUGGUAGAGGACGAGGUAAAUAUGAAACAAGGCCGUCUCUGAAAGAUGGAAAGGUUGAGGCAAGUUUACCAAAGGAAAAAGCAUUGAGUACAUCUGAAAUCUUCAAAACCUUUAGCACAGGGUAUGUUCGGUUGAAUGGCAUUCUCUUCACGCGCACUAGGUAUGUUCCUGUCUAAUGAAUAAUAUGAUACUGACGAUAACAUAACUAAGUAAUGACACUAUCUUCUUAUAAUCUUUACUCAGCUUGGAGACCUUUGAUGAAGUGUUGUUGAUGGUUAAGAAUGAUCUGCUUGAGCUUCUCUCUUCUGGGUCUGAUGAGAAGUAUAAUUUUGGUUCAACUGCUGCUGACUGCAGACUGGCAAUUGUCAGGCUCGUGGCCAUCUUAAUAUUCACCAUCCAUAAUGUGAUUAGGGAAAAUGAUAAUCAGUCAUAUGCCGGGAUUCUACAAAGAUCAGUUCUUCUGCAGAAGGCAUUUACUGCUGCUUUUGAGUUCAUGGGUCAUCUGGUUGAGAGAUGUAUCCAGUUAAAUGAUCCCUCAUCAAGCUUCUUAUUGCCUGGUAUUUUGGUUUUCGUAGAAUGGUUAGCCUGCCAUCAAGAUAUUGCACUUGGUAAUGAAUCAGAGGAAAACCAAGCUAGGGCUAGAUCCUGUUUCUGGAAGAACUGUAUAAGUUUCUUUAAUAAGCUAAUGUCAACUGGGUCUAAGUUUGUCGAUGAAGAUGAAGAUGAAACAUGCUUUUUCAAUAUGAGCAGGUAUGAUGAAGGUGAGACUGGCAAUCGUCUUGCGUUGCCGGAAGACUUUGAACUCAGAGGAUUUGUUCCUCUUCUUCCAGCACAGCUUAUCCUUGACUUCUCAAGGAAAUGUUCUUUUGGUGGUGAUAGUGGAAGUAAAGAGAAGAAGUGCCGUCUUCAGAGGAUGAUUGCAGCUGGAAAGGUUCUUGCUACUGUGGUCCGGGUUGGAGAAGAGGGAAUAUAUUUUGACACAAGGGGAAAGAAAUUUGUCAUUGGUAUGGAGCCCCAAACUUCUGAUAAUUAUCUACUUAAUGGCUUAAAUGGUACCAAAUUAAGUGGUAUUGAACUGGAAAGUCCAGAUGCUGGACAGUUGACUGUGGGAGAUCUUCUGCCGAAGCAGCAAUUGUAUGUGGAAUGUGAAGAAGAAGACGAAGUUAUUGUUUUUAAGCCAUCAGUGAUAGAAAAAUCUAAUGACAUCUCUUCAAGUGCUAUGACCUCAGCGGUUCCUGUAGCUGGUAUUAGUGUUGUCAAUGCUUCUUCUGGUGCUAGCAUGGAGUGUGUUGAUUCGUGUUGUGAGAUGGGGCCAUUUCCAUCUGCACUCGAUGGAUUGAGGUUGCAGAAUGGUUGGAGUACUACAAGGCUGCCAACAAGCAUUUCUCUUACUAAUACCCAAUAUAUGCAGGCAAUCCAACCAAGUACUUCAAUGUGGUCUGUAGAGCAAGGUGCUUUUAUGAAUGGAUUGGGUGGCUUGAGCUUGACAGGAAAUGGGCUAAUGACAGAAGCUGAGUUGCUAAAUCAUCCAGAAAUGGUGUCACCUGCAGCAGCACAUUCAGCUCCUUUGCCACAGUCUGUGAAGUUCAGCACUGCAAAUAAUAUUCACUUCCAGGUUCCUGAGGCUGCUAUGUCAUCUACCUUCAGUUCACUUGCACCCUCCGUAGCUUUCUCCGAUAGCAUGUCAAUGAAAUCUUUAGCAAUUACUCAAACAGGAAUGAAGAAAAAUCCAGUGUGCCGACCUGGUAGGCAUCUGGGUCCACCUCCAGGGUUUGGUUCUGUUUCUUCCAAAGUAGAUGACUCUUCAUUUGCGUCGACACUUAAAAAUGAAAAUAACCCCAUCCCUCGUAUGGAUGAUUAUAGCUGGUUGAAUGGAUAUCAGUUACCUUCAGCACAUCAGAGCAUUGUUUACAAUAACUCGGACAAUCAUUCAGCUCAACCAUAUCACUCUGUAAGCAAUAGUAGCUUAGUCGGGAUUAGCUUUCCUUUCCCUGGGAAGCAGGUGCCCUCUCUGCACAUGCAGUCAGAUAUCCAGAAAGCAAAUAACCAAUCUGUUGGAUUGCCUCAGCAGUAUCAAGGACAGUCCCUGUGGCAAGAUCGUUUCUUUGUGUGACGUGGAUAGUGAGACUAGAUGGUGAAGUGCAUCUUCCUUGUUCUUUUAAUUCAUUAAGUUACUUGAAACAAAUUAUUGUGUUCUUCCAUAUACCAUAUUAUACAUUCGCUUAGUUGUAUUUCCCAAUGCUGUACAGGUUAACAAUUACUGGGGAGAAUGACGGCUAGCCUGUUGCUACGAAGUUCAAUCAUCAUAUUGCAGUAUGGCCAAGGUUAUUAUGUUUUUGUUGCAGCAUGGAUGGUCUUGGAUAGUUGCUGGCACUCGCUAUUGAGCAGGUAUUUUCUGCUACCUUAUCUCCCUGUUUCUCUCCCCCUUCUGGUUACUGUUUGACCUGGUGAGUAAUUUUUCUUAGUCCAAAACAAUCAUACUUGAGUGGAUAAGACAGGGUCCUCCAUCUAACUUUCCAUACAUAUGAAGAUGUUCCAGCUAUCAAUUAGCUGCAUGUCAAUGAUUAGGCAGUAUGGGUCACAUGUCAUACAUAAGCUAAUGGCUUCAUAUCUUUCCCCUCUCUCCCCUUUUCAUUUCUCUAUCUUGAUCAUGCGGGACAUACUCAAAACAAACGAGAGAUGGUUCUUUCUGGACAGAUCUCUGUUGGACACCUCUCCCUCCCCCUUUUCUUUUCUUCUAAGAUCAUAUAUUUACUAUAACCUACUACGCACUUGCCUAUACCAUGUCUCAGUUGUCUCACACCGGCCUGGUUUGUGAUGGUAUUUUUCCUGUUAUUCCUCGGGGAGUCUGGGCAAUGAAUAGUUAGAUCUGGAUGCGUGCAUCUCUUUCCUUCUGAACUUAAAGGAAUUGGGGAUAAAACAGCAGUGCCUCCAUGAUAUGUUUCACUUGUCUGCGUUUAACUUGCCCAAUUCCAAUGUCUGCUUAGACUUUUACCUCCCUCUUGUCAACGUCAAUUUAUUGGGAGAUUUCUAUGUCAAGUUUUCCCGUGCUAACAAAUGUAGUAAUUUUCUGUUUGUCAUCUUCACCACUAAAGUCUCUCUGGGUUUGGUGCAGCUUGUGCCGAGCUAUUCAAACUGGUUGAGUAGAGACCGAGGUUAGUAGGUGCAGGAAUUUGGGAGCUUUUGGAUUAAGAAACCUUGUCUUGGUUGGAUUGAUAAUUGUACGGCUGAGGGAUCAGGCUUUGGUGGAUAUCUGUUUAGAGCAGAAGCAACAGUAAAUCUACCAUGGUUUAUAAAUGAUCUCGACAAAAAGAGUUCUGCUACUUGUGAGCAAUUUUCUACAAUACACAAUUAAGGUUAGAUAUCUUGGCAGUUCCAUAUCUGCCUUGUGUGAAGUUCUGAGAGUAUUUUGCUUAAAGAUGAUGGCGAAGGAUUUGUUAUCGUUGGAGUACUUUGUGGUUGUUAGUUGGAAAUAAGUAUUAGCCUAUGGCUAUCUUGGUACUGUGUCUUAGUGGCAACAAUUAUCUUGUUAUGUUUGUUCUGUUGGACAAAUUGCUGGAUUGUUCUUUUUUUGUUGGAUUAUUAAAUAAUGUUUUGUUAGUUCUUUUGGUGACAUGAUGCCCUUAUAGAUCUUGCUAUUGCAAAUAUCAUUUCCCAUGUUUGGUUCGGAAUGAUAAUUUGAUUAUAAAAUUUUGUUCGCGGCAUCAAUGUAAAUAGCAAAUUCUAUUGACAUAGACCUCGUUUGGACGGGUUUAUAGCUUAUGACUCAUGAGUCAUUCAAGUGUGGAAGAAUCUUUGACUUAUAGUUUAUUACCUUAUUUUUGUUAUUUUAACUUCAAUAGAAGUGUGUCGAAAGAAUCUUUUUUUUUUUGAAAAAAAUUAUCUAAAUAUUUUUUCAAGUGUUUACGUAGAAAUAUAUAAAAUAAGUAAUAAGACAAAGGAGAUGAUUCAUAUUGACUUCAGCUAGAGAAGUUGAAUCCUGGUUGAUGAAUAUUAUAUAACAAAAAUCAAAAUCAGUCAUCUAUAAGGGAAAAAACAAAUAAGUGAAUGAAUGUAGCAAUAUUAAUAUUUGAAAAUUAUCUUUUUUAUGUAACUUUUUUCGUAUUAUAUAAGUAUCCUUUUCGGAUCUCACUUAUAAAGAAACUUCAAACUGGAGCAAAAACAAACCACUUGCCUUUUAUAAGAGAUUAAAUAGAACAAAAAUAAAUUAUCCACUGCUACUUGCCCUUUUAGUGGGUCGUGAUGCGAAUUUAAAUUAGUAGUGUGUUAACUUGCCCUUUUAGUGGGUCGUGAUGCGAAUUUAAAUUAGUAGUGUGUUAACGUGGAUGCCAGACUCCAGAUGGAAAGCCAAAAAAAAGAACAGAACACCAUAUGUUCAUGAACCAUACUGAAAAAAAAGAACUCAUAAUGUUUGAGGGGCCUAGUCAAUUGACAAUUAAAACUUCAUAUCAAGACAAAGUUAAUUUGCAUCAAUCCUUUUACAACUUUUUCUAUACAAUUGCUAUCAAAAUAGAAUAUAUAUAUAUAUAUAUCUAUAAUUUAACAAAAAACUUUCAGAAUCACAGGACAAAAACUCCAUGAAGCAUGAGUUCUUCUAAGCUUCAACAACAAAAAAUGUUGAAAUCCUUCACAAUACAAGAUCCAUCUUGCAGCUUGAACUCCUCUAAUCAAAUUUAAAACUUUCAAGUAUGAAAUUCCUUUAUUAAUUGUCCUCUACAAAAACCUUGAAUAUGUAAUCGCGAAAACGCCUUGAAUAUGCCAUUGGAUCAACUGCUGAGAUAGAAUUUGGAUCACAUUGUAUAGACUUAUAUGCAUGUUCAAGCUUUUUGGUAAUGUCAUAGUCUUGAAGUAUAUCAAUUAUUCCGAAAAAUAGUGUCACAUCAUACAACUCCCCUGUUGGUUCUCCUACCAGCUGAAAAUCCAAGUCAUUUUUCCUGAAUGUCUUCUCAACUCUUGCAGGCAUGUUUAUUCCUAGACUUAUGUUUGUCAACCUGCAUUACUUAAAGUCAUAACAUAAGCUGCACGUUCGAUGAUGAAAAGUACUUACUAGUUGUGUUGCUCAGACUCUUCAAAGAUGAUGUGCUGUCAGAUCCUAGUAGUGCAUUUUUCUUGACAGGGGAAUGACAACAUUUUUAGGUAGUCCGAGCAACACAGCUUAGAAGAGAUGAUCUUUAGUCCUAGUUCGAUUACCACAUGAAGACUAAAAUGUCAAGUUUACUUAUUGAGAAGAUUGCAGACUUGACAGAUGAAAAACUUACCCUGCAGGAUUAAGAAGUAAUAGAUCCACAUCUGAUUUAGUAAACCGAUGAAUUGGUUCAGCAUCUGUGGUUCCAUUUUCUGCAAACAUUAGGAAAAGAAUGAUGGUUUCUUGUUUUCUUACAAUAAAGUUUGAGCCUUUAUUAUGAGGAGAGUUAAUCAGCAGUUGAGAUAUGUCGCCGAGCUUAGAUUGUUUGGGACUGAGGCGUAGUAUUGACAAAUGUAAAUGUGUAAGUGUUAUAAGAUUAGAACUAACCGAUAGGCGUCCUACAGCCUGAAGGAGUUUGAUAUCCAGUACUAGCAUUUCCUUCCCUAAAAUUUACACCAACUAAAAGACUAUAAUCCAUUACUCUUUCCUGUUCCAAGAGCUCACAAUCCCUAUCAACUUGCCUGCAAUAUCAAAGAAAUUUUCGAGCCAGAGGUGGAUUCAGGAUUUAAACUUAAUGCUUUCAAGAUGCUCUUUCUUGCAAUACCAAUUGAGACUAGAUAUCGGUAUUGAUAUAAUAAUAAGGAAUUAACGCGAAGAAACAAAUUUUACCUUCGGAACUCUUCAAACCAUGACUUUUGUAACUUGAAUAUGAAGUUGAGAUCAAGGUCUUUAAGAGUAGUUGUUGUAUCAAUUUCUGAUUCUGGUUUAUCUGUGAUCCUGCCAAAAGUUGAUCCUUUCAAGUCGAAGCGUUUAUGAAUAGUGUAAUUGGUGCAGAAGAGAUUCCCAAUGAUCACGAACCGGACCUAGUUAAACCAUUGAUACAAGUUCUUUUGGUAAGUAACUUAACUAGUGUUCAAUUUCAAUGCAUUAUAUGUAAGUAUACCUUCUUUUGAGCUGGUCCAUUUAGCUUCAGGCAAUGCAGACCAUAGUAUCUAGUCACAAGGGUGUUCUCGAAAGCACGGAAAUGAUCAUAAUACGCAUUUAGCAUCCUUAAAAGUACCUAAUGAUCAUUCAUUGACAAGAAAAAAUCAGAAAGGAACAUGUAGUUUGCAGAACGAAGAAACGAUGACUUCUCUGCAAUGCUUAAAAAGUUUGAGUUGAGGGUCUAUUAGAAAGAGUCUUUCUGUCCCUCACCUUUACUUCUGCCUUUUUCAUUGUCUUGAUCAUAUAUCUAUCAUCAUUUGUCAAGUAAAAAAAACUUCCACUUUUUCCCGGAGAGCUUAGCUCUCUAAGGGGGCCACAAAUAGACAACAUAUACUCCGUUGCAUCCACCUUGAACAACGUUCUCAGAGCCCUGCACAGUAUCAUGUCGAAUAUAACGUUUACUUUUUGUUCUUUAAGUAUACUAAGUUGAUAACAUUGCAUAGUGAGGCAUCAUUACCUGAAAACUUUUGGGCAAUAAUCUUUCCAUCUGAACUCACAAGACUGAUGGCGUGGCGUACUCUUGGAUCCUUCAGGUGGAAAUCUUGUCCAGUACUUCUCUUUCGGAUCAAAAGCUGAUGCAUCAAGAUCGAGUGUUGGAGGAGGGCCAAGCUUUUGUACUGUAUGCCUAUAUGGUUAUUCACAUUACAAGGUACCAUAAACAAACAAAAAAUACUCUUCUCAGUCUAGAAAACGCGCAAUAAUAUGACAGAUGCUUACAGGUUUUCGAUAAGUUUUAUACACCGACUGUAUAAAGAAACUUCACAUUAUCAGUGUAGUUUCAUUUAUCAUAGCAAGUCAUUUACCAUUUUUUUCCAGGCUUCAUGUUUAUAAAUGCUUAUUAUAUAAAGUUAAGUGAUCUGUUAUGUAAAUAUGUUUUAUCUGGUUAGUACAUAUAUAGAAACUAGAACUGUAAUAAAGGGCAGUUCGGUGCACGAAGCAACAAUCAUACUGUGAUUUCACAGCUAAAACCUAUAGAUCACUCGGAGACAACUUUACCAUAUCUUUCUGAAGAAACUAGAGCUGUAUAUGAAAGUAAAUUUAACUACCUGAUUCCCAACUGCAAAUUGAGCAUAAGCUCAUAAUUCUUAUGCCCUUUAGAUAUUGUGAUUCCUUGCCUUUUGACAACCUUAGGAAUCUUAAUAGGACUCCCACUUUUAUAUCCAUCAGAUUCUAGCAAAGCAACCAUUGCGUCGAUAUCUGAACAAGAAUUACUUGUAGUAGCAACUAAUGUUGUUCCAACUCCAUCUGAUAACUGUAUUCUACUAAACUCAGUAUCAGUUGAACCGUCUAUGGACAUCCUCCUGGUCGUCCUACUGUUGUCUACAGGCUUUGACGAUGACAUCCUGACAGCGAGUUUCUUCUGUGAAGGCAAGACUGAAAGUAUAUCAUUUGGUGAGAUAGUACAUCCCAUCAAAUCCACAUUGAAAACUUGUUGAGGAUCCCAUUCAAAAUUCCCCCUUUGUAACAAUGACUCAGAUGGAUAAAAAGUUCCAUUCAAUUCAUCAGGAUCUCUACUCCAAUUGCCAAUAUAAUAACUUCCAUCAGCCCAAUGAAAAGUACCUUUGCCUUUAGGCAAUCCAUCUUCCCAGUUGCCUUCAAACAAAUUACCAUUUUUCCAAUACAAUUUUCCAUCACCACAGAUAGUACCAUUAGCCCAUUGACCCACAUAAUAAUUUCCAUUUUUCCAAGUAUACUUACCAUUAGUUUCUUGUAAUCCUCUACACCAUUCCCCAUCAUAACAAUCACCAUUUGCAUAUUCAUUAACCCCAUUUCCAUGUUUUAAAUCCAUUAACCAACAACCUCUAAAUGUAUCACCAUUUGGUGCUGUAUAAGUACCUUCACCAUCCAUAUAACCAUUCUUGAAAUUACCUUCAUACAUUGCACCAGAAGGCCAACUAAAUACACCUUGGCCUUUCAUUUUACCUUUACUCCAAUCGCCUACAUACAUACAUCCAUCCGUCCACCAAUACUUACCUUGUCCAUUAGGUAAAUUAUCGACCCAAUAUCCCGUAUAGUAAUCUCCAUUUGAUAGAAAUUUCUCUAAUUGAUAUGUUUCACCAUUCAUUGGAUGGUAGUAAUCUUCUCCAUCAACAUUUUCUUGUUGUUGUACAUCUUCUUCUUCCACUAUUUCUUUUUCUUUGUUCAUGUUGUUGUUAUUAAACUCACCUUCAUCAAUUUGUGUUGUUGGUCCAUAGGUUCCAAAUAUUGUAUGUGCUCUUUUUCUAGCUACCAAUUGUGUUUUUCUAACCGUUGCUUCCAAUGCCUUCAUGAUUAUUUGUUUUUCAAGAUCAACAUGAAUCCUUUUUCAUCAAAAAUCUGAAAAAAAUAAAAUCACUCUGUUACACUUUCUUGAUCCAACAAUAUUGUCUUCUUUCUCUAUCCUCUCUUACGUGUGAUGUAACAAAACAGACAAUUAACAGAAACCAACAACAUAUUGUAUUCAUUCUCUCAAUUUUUUACAACUUUAUUUUUUUUUUAUAAAAAAAAUAAUAUAUAUUUUUUAGUAUAUAUGGUCUUGAAUGUAAUUGUUACACUUGCUAGUACUUGGACACCCUUGAGUGAAAGUGUCUAAUUGGACACCUUUCGAAAAAUAAUAUCAUAUAUAUAUAAGUACAACGAUACACAAAGUGAUUAUAACAUAUUUUGGAUAGCCUAGUAAUAUUUAGAUGGUUUGAAAGAAUCUCAAGUGUUCGAAUCUCACUAGGGUAAAAAUGACGGAGGGUAAAUUGAGAGUGAAUUGACGAGGACGAGUCACGUAAAGGGACCGAAAAGCUUCUAAUCUCUAAAGAAGGGGUGUGCUUUACAUCUUAAAUGAAUCCCAUUUUGUACUUUCUCCGUUUAAAAAAGAAUGAUUUCUUUUUCUUUUUAGUAUGUUUAAAAAAGAAUGACUUUUUUUUAUAACAUUUUAAAAUCGGUUUUUCACGUGGCAUGUUUAAGGCCAAAAUAUCAAAGGACAAUUUAAUACAUUUAAGCUAACUUUAAUUUAGAACCACAAGAUACAAAAGUCUUAUACUAAACUCCGUAUCAAAUUAAAUCCGAUUAUUUUUUAUAAAAAGAAGCGAGUAAUACAACAAAAAAUUGAAGAGCUUUAUAAAAUAUAGUAAAAAUUCACAUGGUACUUAUGUUUAUUAGGCUUGAUAAUUACUUGUGAUUUUAACUUAAGUUUAUAUCUUUAUUAAAAUGAGCUUCCAAUAAUUUCUUUUUAUGCGUAAAAGCUUGAAUUUAAAAUUUUAAAUCAUUCUUAAUUAAAUUAUAUAGCUCGAACUCGAAAUUUCUGAUUAACGUCCCGAAGCAUUCUUGAUCAGCUCAAGACUCCCAUGUUGCUACUCCGAAUCAUGCGCUGCUUUUAACACCCUUUUCCCUUUUCUCUCUCUUCUUUCCCAUUGUUUCUAAUUUUCCAUCCAACUUUUUUUUUUUUUGAUAAAACCAAGAAAAUUGGUACAGCCUAUUUUGCUGUUUAUGAAGGGAAAAAAGGUUGAUUUUUUUUUAACAAUGCAGAAGGGAUAAAAACCAAUCAGUUUGGGCAAAUAUGGUUAAGCAGAUUUAGGCAUUGCUUCUGUAUAAAGUUAUAGAGAUAUAUAUUUUAAUUAUAAAUGUCUGAUUUGGUUGCUCGGACGGGUCGGCAUCAACAGCGGUAUGAAGAAGGUUAUCGACUCAUUGCUGGGUACUUCUCUUUUUCUGUUCUUUAUGUGUAAUGUUUCUGUUUUGUUUGGAUUUAUUUUGGAUUUUGCUCAUUUGGGUUUUGUUUGGUUUUUGGGAAUUUUUCUGUUGAAUGUGGGCAUUUUGUACAUUGGUGUUGAUAAUUGAUGAAGAAGGGUUCUUAAGGAACAAGAUGGAUUGCAGUUCCUUUUAGUUUAGUGUUUCCUUUGAUUGCGUUUGUUUAAGGGUUGGGUUUGUGCAGUUUGAUUUUAAGAAAAGGGGGCAAUUUUUCAGCUUUCUAUGGACUAAUAAAGUUUAGUAUCUUCGAAAAGUUGAAGUCUUUUCGCACCCAAGGGGGUGGUCUAAGGGUCACUGAAGUAGGUUGUGAACCAUUUGGUUCAGGUCCAAAUCCCAAUAGAGAUAUCUAUCUGUCCUAGCUUUGGUUGAUUGACAGAGUUGCUUGUUGCGGGUGGGAGGUGGCAUGUAUCCCGUGGGAUUAGUUGAGGUGUGUGAAAGCCCCCGGACAACGAUUAUCAAAAGAAAAAGUUGAAGUCUUUUCGCACCCAAGGGCGUGGCCUAGUGGUCACUGAAGUGCGUUGAGAACCAUGAAGUUCAGGUCCAAAUCUCAACCGAGAUUGUCAUCUGUCCUAGCUUCGGUGGACAGACAGAGCUACCAGAUACUUGUUGGUGGUGGGAGGUGGCAGGUUUCGUGUGGAAUAAGUCGAGGUGUGCGAAAGCUGGCCCCGACACCAGUGUUAUCAAAAAGAAAAGUUGGAGUCUUUUAUGAAGAGUAAUGCCCAAGAACUGUUGGGACAUGUGGGAAUAGGCUGGCAUUGUUCUCUUCAAGUUGCUUAUUUAAAGAUAAGUAAAAUUUGAGGAGGUAAAAGCAGAAUAAUGACUCUUGGAAAGUUGGAGUAGGAAUUGGGUGACCCUGUCUAUUUAUGUUUUCUCAGUUCCACAUAAUUUUAUAAUGAGCAUAAGAUGAAAUUAGGAGGCAUACUGUCAUCAUUUAAGCAUAAAACAAAUCAAAAUUGGGGUUAUGUGGUUGAAAUUACCUCUGAAUCCCACUAUAUCAUCUUAUGAAUUCUUUCGCUGAUUCAGUCAGAAGGACUAUCCUUAUCCUUCUCAUCAUACUUAUUAUCUCCAAGUUUCCAUUCUUAUUCUGUUUAAUAUCUCCUUCAAAGUAGAGUCUUAACUCAUAAGCCAUGACAUAAAACAUAAAUGAAGUUCAAAAAACAUGUAGUGGAACUUUCUUUAUCCAUCAGACGAAUGGAAAGAUAUGAGAGCUACGAGGGCUCGAGCUACUUGACAGCAAAUAAUAUUCAUCCUAUCACCAUUAAAAACUAUUAGUAUGACUUCACCAAAUAGCCAUGGGAUGGGAUUAUUUUUUAGCUGAAAAAAUGUGAGGAGGAAAAAGACUGAUGGAAGGAUUGCUUCCCUUUCUUAGUUGACGGGCAUCACACCUUGUUAGCUCUAGGGUUUGGCUUAGUUCUGAGCUAUUCAGGCUGCAACUUAGCGUGGUGACAUUGACUGGGGCUUCAAUGUUUUAUAUUGUUAAGAAUUGUUGGUUUUCGAGUUAGAAAUUGUAGGUCGACUCUUUUAAGAGUGUGCUAUGCACUGAAUACUUGAUUUGAUCUUUGGAAAGUUAUAGAAAAGCAACUACACAAAGUAGAAAAAUUAGGUACAGAAGAUAAAUCCUUCCGUGUCUAGAAAAUAUUGGAAUAUGAUUCUCAUAAAAAAAUGCUCUUAGAACAGAAGUAGUAUGUGGAUUUUUAUGGAGAAAAGAUAAUCUUUUGGCUUCUAAAAAGUGAAGUAAGCUCAAUUUUCAAAUUUUUGCUCUUCUAAUUAAAUACUAAGCAUGUCAUUUGAAGUUGACAUACAAGUUCACUUUGUGGCUGUCUUUUUUUCAUAAUUGAGGUGGUAGAUCUGACUUUUUGACUUUGGGGUCUCUUUUCCACAAGUACACGACAUCUUUAUAUGAGUUUUAGACCCCUGAUAAUCGUUAUGUUGUUUAACGUCUUCCAUUUAUCAAAGAUAUUUUGCUUUUUCAAAAUCUGAAAACAGUCGGCAACUACUGCAUUAACUUCCUGGGUUUGCAUUUGAAAUCAGAAUAAUAUUGCCUUAGGACCUGUAUAUUCUGAAUCAUAACGAGAGUUGUCACAGGUGUAUACCGUUCAGGUUCAGAGAUAUGGAACAGAAUGGUGAUGACACAUCUGAAAAGAUAGUUGAAGUACUGAUGAUAAACUCAACGAGCGGGCCUGGUCUUCUGUUUCCAAAGGUGAGAACUGUUCUUUUGGAUUUCAAGCAAUAUGCUAGGGUAGUUGAAAUGACUGAAGUGUUUUAUUGGACCAGCCUUAAGUUAACUUAUGUGACUUUAUCUUCUGAUGGUUCUAGUGGUUGUGUCCUCUUUACCACUUGGUAUUUCAACCUCAUAAUUAAAGAGAUUUGCUAACUUUGUUCCACCUCGCUGUCAAAUUGAACCUUACCAAGUUAAACAACUAGAAAGAUACCAAGUUUGGCAUUUGCAGUAAGUUCUCCUUUUCUAUAUUUUCUGGGCAUCACACAUGACUUGAUAGGCUUCUUGUUCUUUUCUUUAAUUGUUAUUUUUUUUGUUUAUUAGUAGCACCGUGAUAUUGGGGAAUAAGAUCUUAGUUAAUUCUUUUUGUUCAUGUUUAUUUUGCCUUUAGUUGACAAGAUGUCUGUUAAUUGACAUUUCUAUCUUUUGUAUAUACAGGGAGGGUGGGAAAAUGAUGAAACAGUUAAAGAGGCAGCUGUUCGUGAAGCCAUAGAGGAGGCUGGAGUUCGUGGGGAUAUAGUGGUGAGAUCAUUGUAACCUUUCUUCAUUUAUUCUGUAGUAUUUGGACACGCAAAUAUGUUAUUCCAUGUUGCAUGGAGGUUCGUCAUGCUUUAGUGGAGGAAAGAUCACUCUUUAGUGAUGUAUUUGCAUGUCAAAUGGACCACAAUAGUAACAUUUUCUCUGCCUUUGAGCUUUGGAUGUGCUCGUGUCUUUUUAUUACUAUAUCAUCUUUAAUUCUCUCUGUGCAGAAUGUUCUUUUAUUAUUAGUGGAGUGAAUUUUUUUACAAGAAAGCAUCAUAUGAUAUGAUGAAGCUUCAAUAUGUUUUUUUUAAUGAAGUAGGAGGUAUUACAAAAUACAUCAAGAAGAUGCAAAAUUUAGCACUGGACAGUGUCUAAAUGUGAUGCAACAAUAACACUUACAAAAGCUGAACUUCUGUUGGAGCAUUCUAGGAAAAAUAUGCUUGUUUUAGUUUAGACUUUAGAUUGUCUUGGUGAAAAACUUCAAGCAAUCCUCUCUUGAUUAACAUAACGUUUUAUCUUAAAAUAAGUAUCUUGUGUAAAUAACUUGUAGGUUGUAGCGUCUUUAGAAGUGAUAUCAUUCCCUUUUCUUUUGUUAUCAUGUAUGUAUUGAUUUUAUACCUCUUCUUUUUCAGCAUUUUUUGGGAUACUACCCCUUUAAAAGCAAAACACUUCAGGACGAGUUCAGUCCAGAAGGUCUGUGUAGAGCUGCCAUGUUCGCUUUGUUUGUUAAGGAAGAGCUUGACUGUUGGCCAGAACAGAGCCGCCGAAAAAGAAGUUGGCUGACAAUUCCUGAGGCAAUUGAAUGUUGCAGGCACCCAUGGAUGAGAAAGGUCCUUGAAGAAGGAUUUUCGAAGUGGCAUGAGGAUGGUAUGGUAAGCACCAUUAACAACAACGAUGACUAGUUUUUCUCUUUAGUCCUCCCUUACCAAAGACUGAAGUUUUUUUAAAACUUUAACGGGUAGAAACAACUAUGAAGUUGGAUCUUAUGUCAAACUAUAAAUCUUCCAAAAAAAGUGACAUGGUCACCAUGUUUUGAUAACUUAUUAUCUGGUUCUUUGCUUUUCAUGAGACUGAAGGUGAAUUUGAAAGAAAAGAAACAAGAAAAUUAUCUCCAUCUUCAUCAUUUUUUUUCUAUUGCUAAGCUACAUUUUCAGUUAUACAACUAGUGGGACUAACCAAAUUAGUUAGAUUACCAGAUGAUGCAUUUCUCUGCAACUGUGAUUUCAUUAUAAUGACAUGCGCAUUAUAGCCCCUCUUCCCGGAACUGUGCAUGAACGCAUAAUGCUUUGUGCAUUGGACAUGCUUAUUAUGGACAUACUACGCGAUAUAGUGUCCAUAAUCUGUUGCGGGGAAGGCAAAGAAACUUGUUAAACAGGCCUCACCAUGUGUAUGCUUAACAACUGAAAGUUGUGUGAUGAAUGCCAUUAAACAACACUUAGUUCUUUUUAGUUGUUGCUAAUUAUCUUUAUAGCCAAAAGUGAAAUUUGUACCAAAUGCAUUGCCAUAAUUAUACAUUCAGUCUGCACUUGGAGGAUAUAGUCUAGUAGUCAAUAAUGUGGACAGAGUUUCUCGAUAACUAUGCUGCUCGGAGAUUUCUUCUAGCCUUAUUGAUUAGAGUUAUCUGGUAACUGUGCUGAUGGGAGGUAGUGAGAGUGGGUACCUCGUGGAAUUUAGUGGACACGUGUAGGGGUGUGAAAAAAUCGAACCGACUGAUAAAUCGAAUCGAAAAAAAUGUUAUUGGGUUAUUGGGUUUUCAAUGGGUUUAUAAAUUUUUUUAUUGGGUUAUGGGUUCGGUAUCGGUUUUUACUAUUGGGUUAUUGGGUAAAUCAAUAAAUCAAUAAGACAGUUAUAAUUUAUUAUUUUACCCUUCCUAAUUUUUAAAUAUUCCUCCCUUCGUUUAAAAAAGAAUGAUCAUAUUUCCUUUUUAGUCUGUUUCAAAAAGAAUGACUCACUUUCAUUUUUGGCAACACUUUAACUUUAAUUUUCCACGUGACAUGCUUAAGAUCAGAAGAUUAAAGGACAUUUUGGUACAUUUGACAUAACUUUAAUUUAGAACCACAAGAUUAAUAAGUCCUCUUUCUUUUCUUAAACUCUGUUCCAAGUCAAACUAGGUCAUCCUUGUUGAAACGGAGGGAGUAAUAAUUAAUAUAUAAUUACACUAUAACUAUAUCACAUUAUUAGUACUCUACCGACUUCACACUAGGAAACUUUAUAUUAGUUUUUACUAUAUACCUAAAGAUUAAAGAAUUGUAGCUAUUUUGAUUUUAUUUUUAGUUUUAGUCUUGUUGGACUAGUUUAUUUUAGUUCAUUGUGCUAUGUUUUCGUGAUAACAUGUAAUUAUAGUCUUCGCACUAUAUUUUCUCUUAUUGAUGCAAUUUCUCAUUAUUUUUUUUGUUUCAUCAUAUCAAAGCAUUUAGAGAAGUGAGAAGACAUAAUAUUUUACAGAUAUUCUUUUAUUAGGUAAAUCGAAAACCUGACUGUUGAUGAUCAAGAAUUGAUAAAUUGAAAAUCGAUAAAGAAUAUUUUAUCGAUUUGUUAUAUUGAGUUAGCAUAUUUUUUAAAAAUAGAAAAUCGAUAAAUUAAAUCGAUAGUACAUAAAAUUAAAUCGAACCAAUCAGUGUACACCCUUAGACACAUAUACAAGUUGACUCCGACAUCACGAUAUUAUUUUGAAGCUUAUGCAUUUAUAUGAUUUUAAAUUAUUUGAAUUUCUCUUCUUCCUUUGCCAGAAAGAAAUAUAAAAGUUUGAUUAGAAUUGCUUUCUAACUUUAAAAACUUUUGGUCAAUUUUAGAAAUUAGUCAAUCUUUUUUAUUGUUGGUCCAUUGUUUGUUACAUACAAUGUACUACUUAUUAUUCUCUCCGUCCAAAAUUAGUUAUAUUUCAAUUCUCGAGAGUCAAAUUAUAAUAACUUUAAAAAUAACUUUUUUCCGUCAAAUUGACAUGAGUACAAUUACAACUAUAUUAUACUUUUAGUAUAAUUUUUAAAUAUUUAGAUUUUAAUUAUAAAUUAUUUAAUUUAUUUAAUCGAAUUUAACUUUAAAGAUUCUCGACUCUUACUUGGGAAUGUUCGAAUUAAAGGACUUCAUACAUUUUUCGAGUGAUUUUAGAAUUUAUCCCAAAAAAAGGAAGAAAAAGAAGAGAUUCCUACUUUACUUCUUACGUUAAAGUUUUAUACUUUUUUCUCGACAAUUCGAGAUGUAUAAAAGUUGAUCCAAUAUUUAGAUAUGAUAACUUAUAAGUUAUAAUAUUUUAAAAUAAUAAGUUUAUAUAUGAUAUUUAUUAAAAUUUAAAUAAUUAAUCGAAAACAAUGAAUUUAGUUGAAUUCUUGAUUCAAAAAUUGCAUAAUUUUUGUUAUAUUGCUAAUAAUUUGAUUAAUGUAUCCUGCAAAUGCAUUAAUGAAAAUCACGAAGCAAAAAGGUUAUUGGCUAAUGAUAAAUAUCUUUCUAAUUCUAAUAAUAAUUUAAUUAAUUAACGUAUCUUGGGGGAAAAAAAGUUGUUUUUUCUAAUUAUUAAUAUUAAAUAAUUUAUUAAAUUACUUGUGUUGGAAAGUACAAAAUAAUAUUAGCAUCUACUAUAUCUCCCUAGUCAGGCGGCGCUGGAAAAGGAAAUACAAAUAUAGUAAUAGAACAUUUGUCAAUAUUGACUAAGUAGCCCAUAUAGUUUAGUUAAUUAUAAGUGGUCCACUACAUUUCUCUCAUUUUAUUUUUUAAAUCGAUCCUUUGUUUGAUAUUUACGUUAAAGUUCGACUAUUUCAGAUUUACAUUGUUUAGGGUUCGAUUCGGGGGGAAAGUGUUUCCUACCAAGAAUGUUUCACAUCAAAGCUUAAAUCUAAGACUUUUGAUUAUAGAAAAAUCAGACUCAUCUAUUGUAUCUCUCUCUCUUUAAUAAGAAAUGGUCAACUUUAUCUAUAUACUAUAUGAAAUUAAGUAAUAUUAUCCUCCGCAAGUUACUGUCGAAUAUUACUUUUAUUCGUUUUGGUCCUUGACCUUUAAUGAUAUUUCAGUUUGAAGGUGAUUUUAUAUUGUAACAAAAAAUUGAAAGGAAAUAUUUGAAUCGAAGAAUUUAAACAUGUGCGAAUCUACCUCUUGUAAAUAAUGAAAAUCAAUAUGAUAUGAAUAGGUAGGAUGAAAUAUAACGAAUGAUAAAAUUGAAUAAUUUUUUUUUGCUAAGAAGUAACCAAAUAGUGCAAUACUUAGUUUUUAAGUUGUGUUUGAAAAUUGGCAUUUUUUUGUAACAAGGGUGUUUACAUCUAGGCAUGUAGGGUAAAAGCUUUUGGUCAACAUAACCAAAUUUAUGUCUAUUUUGAGAAACAUUUAUAUUGACAAUUAUUAAAGCCAACUAAUUAUCAUAUGUUUGACUAUGAUGCUUUAAUCAUUACUAUUUUCAUUUAUGGAAUUUUCAUCAAACUUUUCUUCUUUGUUGUUUUCUAUAUUCCAAAGUUCCCAACAACUUUUAUUUAGUACUCAUCCACAUCCACGAUUACGAUUAGUUCAAAAUAUUAUUGUAAUUUUUGUAACGAAUUAUAUAACGGAAAAGAGAUUAAUCUGAUUCAUGCAUGUAUAGAAAAUGUGUGUGGAGGCAUUAAUGAGAAUGUUUCAAAGUUUGACUAUAACGAGUUGUAAGAAAGGUGAAGAUAGUCCAGAGAAGAUCAAAAGAAAUAAUUAAACAUGAUAUAAUACAUCUUCAAUUUUUUUGAAAAUAUGAGUCAUAUUAACUCUAGUUAAGAAAAUUUUGAAGAUCGAGAAUCGGGAUAGAUUGUAGUGCUUAUACGGGGGAGAAACGGGGUUUUAUUCUCUUCUUCUCCUAAUUUAGUAAUCUUGCAUUUCCAAACAUAUCCAUAUGCGACUUUCAUCUGAUCAAACUAUUUUCUCCAAAAUAAAAAUAAUCGCCAAAUACAUGAACCUAUUUAAGAUAAAAAAAAUAACAAUUACAUUAAAUUAUAUUCAAAACCAUUAAUAUUUCACAAAAUCAAGGUGUUCAAUUUUCUUCUCCAAAUCUAUCCUUGACAUAUUCCUAAUUCAAUAUAGUUUUUUAAUGUUGUAUAUAACAAGCUAGAUAAAUAAACAAAUCAUAAUUAAAGGAUAUUAAUUAGUCAAAACCCACUACUUCAACUAAAGGGACUCAAGUGAAAACAAAAAAACUUUGGGUGUGUUACAUGUAACUUCCAAAACUUUAUAAGCAGAAUCUGAAAUUAGAUUGUUUUAUUAUGUAAGUGCGCUAAAUAAUUUAGGAAUAUUAUAAUAUACCUCUCACUUUUCCUUAUUUGUCAUUUUAAUAUAUAAUAAAAAAAAAAUUAAUUAUUUUUUCUUAUUUAUAUUUAAAAAUAUUAAUCACUUUUUUCUCUAAAAUCUAAAUUAUAUAUACAUCAAUCAAUACAAAUAUCCAUAUUAGAACGAUAGAUAAAAUUUAAAAUAAACAAAUAAAAAUAAUCGGAUCGAAUAAAUAUUGAUAUAUAUAUAUAUAUAUCUCGGUGGCUUAGAAAAUGACGUGGGGGCUAGCGUAGUUUGGAAUGAUCUAAACGUCACGUUUGUCAUCUUCCUCUCUCUUUCCCUCGUUGUUCGUGGUCAUAAAUAUAUAAUAUUAAGUAAAAUUAUACAAAAAUUAAUUCUGGGUUCGUUGAAUUUUGUGUAAAAAAUGAGUCUUUAUACAGAAAAUUCGACUUGAAAUUGUUUACUGACCAGUCAUUGAACCACUCUAAGCUUUGGUUUAUUUAGUUUUUAUACGAAGUGGGGUUGUAGAAAAUUCAAUUUUCUUGAGUUUUUUAUUUUAUUUUAUUAAUUUUAAGCUUUGGGUAUUAGAUAUUAACUCAUUUUGAUGAAGGGGUAGUUGGGUUUUGAUAAAGUUUUGACCUUUUUGUUGUUUGAAGUGAGGGUUUAUGCACAGCUGUUUUUUUUCUUUUUGGGGUUUUCUUGAUUUUAAUGGUGUAUGUGUUAAAGUUUUAAGCGGUUGCUUUUGGAAGUUUUUGUAUUUAGUCAACUGUUUGAAAGGGGUUUGUAGUUUGAUUUUGUUAUUGUAGAGUUUUUGAGUGUAUGAACUGAGGUUGUGGAUUGUUGAUGAUGAUGUGAAGAUUGGUAGAAAAGGCUAUAAGAGUGGUAAUUUUGGGAUGCCAAGUUUCAUUUCUCAGAUUCCAGUUUCAAAAAAUCACAUGUAUAUCUCUUAACAUACUUUCACUUUUUUUGAAUUUCUGUAAAGUUUAGUUUGCUCUUUGCAAGUGUUGGAUUUGUUUCAGAUGGGGAUUACUGUUUAUUCUUAUGUUUAUGUUGAAGGAUUCGAGUUUUGAGAUUGUUGUUAUAGGGACUAGGCUAUAUAUCUUUCUGUUUGUUUAUGUAAAUGAAAAAUAGAAGUCUCUUAUAGUUUGAUUGUAACUUGGAGAGGUGACUUUUAAUGAGUUUUAGGGUAGGAAUGAAAAAGGAGAGCUGAACACUCUUUGUUUCAGGAUCGGAUAGUUCCUGGUAGCGGUGGAGGUAGGAUUUUCGUUAAGGGGGUUCAGAAAUUAUUUUAACUUUUUAUAUAUCAUGUGUUUUCCGGCGAAGGGGAUUCAAAUGAACCCUCUUCUGCCCCUCUAAGCUUGCCACUGGUUGUCCAGAUCACUGUUUAGGUAAAUCAAGUAUUCCUAUUAAUACUCCGCUAGUCCUUAGAAACGCGUUUAAUUUAAUAAGAAGAGGAAAGAAUGUUCAACCACUUUGUCGUCAAGUUGUUUCUCAGAGUUCCUCCUGAAUAUUUACAGUGCAACGUGUUAGUAUAAAUCUAGAAUUAUUAUAUGUCAUGGUUGAUAUGCUUAUAUGAAGGUGACAUCUCCAAUUAUUAAUUCCUGUUUAACAGUAUUUUUGGGCUGUAAUUUUGGAUUUCAGGGGCACAGAAGGGAACAAUACAAAUACUUCUCGAAUGUCUGAAUUUGGGGUGCUUGAGCAAUAUCUUGGAUUCCGUAUUGGAGAUGGUGUUAAUGUUAAUCGAAGUAUGUAUUUUUAAGACUAGUCCUGAAUGUUCUUGGGCUGCCUAUCUUUCCUCUCACUCAUCUGAUAAAAGAAUCUUCUUAUGUUUGAGCGUUCUUUAAAUUACAGCUUUACAGUAGGCACCAAGUGUGUUUUGUCGUUAGUGUUUCUAGUGAGCGUUUGGUCACCGAUGAUCUCAUCAACAAGUUUUACUUUCUAUGCAAAUUUGGUAGUUGAGACUCCGAAAAGUUGAAAUGAGCUGAAGAGACUGAUCAUGGCGUAGGACUUCUCUUUGCUUUUCUAGCCAGUCAGGUCUAAAUGUAGUAAGAGAAGUGGGAAUUUGAACUUAACUUAGUUCCAACUGUAAGUGAGAGUUCAAGAUUAUAUAGGGAUAUGUGGACAUGAGGGUCCAACAUUGGGUAAUUUAACAUUGCGGGAAUUGCAUCAUACUAUUUAAAGAGCAACUGACCUUGGGCAUAACUCUACCCAAAAAACUAGUUCAUUCGGUGAGAGUUGCUGAAGACCAUAUAAAGAAGGUAAAAUUAAUACCCUUGACCUAUGUGGUACCGUAACGUAUGACUCCUCUUUAUAGAUAAUAUUUGAAAAAGUAAUAUUCUUAUGUGGAUAUCUAUAGGUUUGGAAGAUAUAUUCGACACAUAGUAUAUGAAGUAACCUCUAUAUAGAUAUAUUCGACACAUAGUAUAUGAAGUAACCUCUAUAUAGAUAAUAUAAGAAAAAUAAUAUUCCCAUUUAUGUUAUACGCACAUAGUAUAUGUAGUAACCUCUUUGUAGAUGAUCUACCAAAAAGUAACAUUCCUGUGUAGAUAUCUAUAGUUUGGAAAAUAUAUUCGAGUGCAUAGUAUUUGAAGUAAAUAAUGUUUUGUGGUGUUGAGAUAGCUAAUUUGGAUUAAGAAGACUAAGUUCAUUGUUCCAAAUAUUUGAUAUAUCUUGAACUGGGUCUUCCUAUUUGGACAAUGUUAAAUAAGAGAUAAAUUAGUAUUAUUCCAGGAAGGUUGGAUUUGGCACCAACAAACAAAUGGGAAUUGUUUUUUGUCCUAAUAUGGGUGCAAGACAUGUCACCUUUUUACAUAAAAAAGUAGCAGUGUCAAGAAAAAGUUCUGAUUGCAUUAAAUUUGGGUUUAGCUCUAAAUGCACUGUUAAAAAAUUAGGUCAAAAGCACGGACUUCAUAAGUUAUGUACCUGAUGGUCAUUUGCACAAUUUGCUCUUAUUUCCUGAUCUAUCUAUAUUUAAUACAGUCGCCACCAUCUGGUUUUGUGUUUGUCGUUUUCGGAUUACAAUGUAAUGUAAAGAUGGUACUCCCUCCGUUUCAAUUUGUUUGUCUUAUGUUCUUUUAUAACCCAUUUAAAAAAGAACGCCUCCUUUUUGACAACUCUUAUAUUUCCACUUCACAUGACAUGUUUAAGACCACAAGAUUAAAAGACAUUUUGGUACAUUCAACAUAUGAGUUCAAACCACAAGAUUCAAGUCCUCUUUACUUCUUAAACUUUGUGCCACGUCGAAACCAGGCAAACAAAUUAAAACAAAGGGAGUACCUAUCAAACAUAAUGUGAAAAUAUUGCAAACAAUAGCCAAAAAAUGUCGGAGAGCAUGGAGGACAAGGAUAAUUGGGGUUUUAUUCCUUUGUGCUCUUCAGACAAACUGCCCUGUCAAUGUAGCUUCCGGCGUGGAAGAACUAACUUAUGGUAUAAUAAACUGGAUUUGUGUUCUCCAGAUUCUCGAUAAUAUUGAACCUAAAUGUUUAGACUGAUGUUUGAAAGUGGUACGGAUCCCCCUUAUUAGAGAACUGUGGUUGCAAUGGUAUUCUUGAGCUUGAUGUCAACUGUAGUAGGAAUGCUAGAUUUUACUGACAAGCACUUGUGUUUCUUUUCUAGUGUUCAGUUAUAUGUGAACCACAAUUGUCCAGGAACUUGUCUCACUUAUGUGAAGGCUGACCAUUACCUGUGUAGUAUGAUUGAUGAAUAUAUCUUUUGUUGGUUUAGGUCCCCUAUUUAAUUCUACAUCUGCAGCUAAUCCAGCAGUGGGAUUUGACGUCUCUGGGACCAUCAAUAGGGUAAUUACGGCAUUUAAUCUCUCUACAUUUCUUCCUAAAGAGAAGUAGAAACUGUUAAUCUGAUAUUGCCAGAGAUUCCACAGACUGAGGGCAAGGCUUUAAGCUUAUUUUGAUAUAUUUUUUUUCCUAUUGAGCUUGCAGAAUUUAGCUCCUUCAAAUACAAGUUUGUCUACUGCUGCUCCAGGAUCUCAUGUAAUACAAUUGCAAUCAAACUUAGUUCCUGCAGCUGGCACUCAUCCUGAGAAUUGGGGCGAGUCCAACAUGGCAGAUUCUGGUUCUCGCACUGAUACUUCAACUGACAUGGAUGGAGAUGAUAGAAAUCAAAGGGUAAUUUACUCUGCUUGUCUCAGUUUCAUCGCCUAGCCUCUCUUAGUCCAUUUCUCUUUGGUUUGUAAAGACCUGCAAUGUCUUGGAACUUAUCUUGAUUUGAGUAAGAAUAAAAUUUAACCGAAGCAAAGAGUCAAGGGGCCAUCUAGGCAAACCAACAAAUAUCGACUGGGGUUUUGGUUGUUGUUAUUGCACUUGGCCACCUUCAUAAAGUGAAAUGUUAAUUUUGAGUCAUUUUGUUCUAUUUGGGUCUACGCUGAUCAGACUUGGGUUCGGGCAUCCGACUUGGUUGCUGCCUAUGGAAAAUUCAGAUUCUUUAUCACAUAAAUUUUAGGAUUCAAGGGUAUGUAUCCGAGUACUGAUACAGGUGCUGGGAUAUGACCAAUAACUGUUUAUUAUGAUAUAUAAAGUUAUAUUUCAAAUUUUCAAUUAGUUGAAGUUAUUGAACAUAAAUUAAUAGAAGUUCAUUCCUUAUAAACACCAAUAUUUUGUUCUUUUUUCACGCAAUAGAAAAGGGUUCUCAUACUUGACAUUUUCUGAGACUGACCACGUUCACAUACUUUAUCUAUAUUUAUGACAUAAAACCAAAAAUCAAACUAAAUACCAGAUCAAUUUAUACUUCUCGGUCUAGAAUGUGGCAAAUACCCAAGAUAAGUUGACCCAGUCUGCUAUAGAUCUCACACCCACACCUAUGUCGUGUCUACUUGGGUACGGUGGAGAUUUUGAAGAGUGCUUGCAACAUAGAUUUUGUCACUUGUAUGUCCGUGUAAGAAAGAGAAUGAAAUUUGGAGAAUCUCUGGUUAUCGAGAACUCUAAUUUUCCUUGAAUGAUUAGCACUAUUCCUUUCUCAUCUUAUAUGAUUCUUUUCUGUUUGGGAUGUCUCAAAAUGUUUUGACAUAUUCCAUCUCUGCAACUUUUACAUCUGUCAAGAAUCCAAAUUGUUUAAGGUAAUCAAAUUUCAAACUUCAAUCUUAUGUUUUAUUUGUUAGAUGAACUUUUCAAUCAUUAUUACUUGAAUUCUGCGACCCGUAAAAUUCAAAAUAAAUGGAAUGGAGUGUGUAUUAUUGAAUUAUUAAUCCAAAAUAUAAGACUAUUAUUUGUAUUGUAGAGAAAUGGAUAAGUGGAAUAGAUACAGAGGAUUCAUGUUAACCAAUCCCAAACUAGCUGUUAUUGAGCAAUAAUUGGUUAAUUGUCUAGGUUUCAUCACUUCAAUUUCAUACUUGAGUUUUUGGUUCACAAAUAUGUAUUUUUAUUGAACUGAACAGUUUGUACAUGCAACAUACACUUUCUCCUUAAGAAACAAGGGGAUUUUUGUAUUUUUUGUGGAUCUUUUAGUUUCAGUGAUUGUUAAUGCAGACUUUUAGUUUCGAACUUCCAAUAAUUGUUAUUGCAUGCCUAAAAAUUAAGCGGAAACUUCUUUAUCAUAAUCUGGUUUGUGUUCUUACAUUUCAGUCAUGUAUGAAAAUUCUUUUCCAUUAUGCAGAUUGAGACGGGUCAAUCCAGGGCUAUUGCAGCUUCUGAUUCCAGUGACAAAUCAAAAGAAAAAGUCUUGGAUCAGAAGGUUCAUUUCUCACUAUUUAGUCUUAGAAGAGGAGAACUCAUGUUCCUUUCUUAUUUUCGUUUUGCUUAUCAUCACUUCUUGCAGACAUUGCGGAGACUUGCCCAAAAUCGUGAAGCUGCUAGAAAAAGUAGACUGAGGAAAAAAGUAAACCUUUCUUCUCUCAUUCUCCACACUAGUUUGUCAUUUUAGUAUAUUAGGGAUGCUGAAGAGAAUAUGUCAGCUGAUUAUUUCUCACUCGUCUUUAAAUGACUAAUUCCGUACUUGCUUAUGCUGCAGGCAUAUGUACAACAGCUGGAGAAUAGCCGGUUGAAGCUAUCACAGUUGGAGCAGGACCUUCAGCGAGCACGUCAACAGGUAUUUGCUUCUUCCUUUCAUGUGCUUUCGGGAGGACAACUUGAGGAGGUUCCACAAUCUUCUCUUAUUUUGUUUUUUUGUGCAACUGAAGGGGAAGUACAUCUCAAACAUGGCAGAUCAAUCAAAUGGAGCGGGCGCCAGUGGUAUGCCCUUCUCUUGUAGCUCCCUUUUUUCAUUUCAACAAACAAGAAAAUUGAUGGGCUUCUUCUAGAUCUGUUGAGGAAGUAUCACUUCUUGAUGCUAAAUUGAGCUAGGAGUGGGUUGUUAUUUCAUGUUUCUUGCAUUUGAAUCUGUUACCAUCUGUUGUCGUUAGUGUUUCAGUUGCCACAUUAUUUCUUUUUUAUUAUUGUUCAUCUUCUGGAAGUCAUGUAUUGCUUUCCAUAUUAAUUAACCUGUUUUCUCCACUGCCAUAUCUCCUUUACCCCAGCCACUUUGAUUUGCUGCACUUGAGCCGAAGAUCUUUCUAAAAUAGUAUCUCUAGCUCUACGAGGUAGGGGUAAGGUCUGCACAUUCUAUUUCCCUCCCCAGAACCCACUUUUGGGAUUACUCCCAGCAGGACAGACUACACUUGAUGUAAUAAAGACUUGUUCUAGGAGAGCAAAACUGGGUAUGUUGUUGCAACUUCCGUAGUUUGACAAUACUCUUUAUUGUAUCAGCUAUGAUAUCUUUAAGAUCAUCUAGAUGUGCCUCUCAUAGGUGACUAUGACAGGAUUUGGGUAGUUCUAGGAAAUUUUGGGUGGAAUUUGAAUGGUUGGUUUCAUUAGACAGAUAAGCAUCCACCAUAUUGCAGUCGAAACAGAUAUUUAUACAUGAUGGCUAUCUCUAUCUUAAAAUCUUCCUAUAUGCACUUUAUGCACCUUUCAGUUUUUCCAGGAAUAGUUUGUCUCACAUAUUUUGUGUGUCGCAUGGUCUCUGUUUAGGUAGCAAAUAAGACGGAAAUAAUGUGUGUUUUUAAUUGAAGGAGAUUGUUAGAACUUCAGUUUUCUUGAGUUUCCCUGAUUAAGUGGAUUCAAUUAAUGAGAUAACUUGUGAAAUCCAUCUGCGUGUCAAUACACUGUGGAUGGCAUUUAAUUCAAUAUUGAGGAACAAAGUAAACUGCAACUUUCAAUUGGUACUUGGUUCAUGUUCGUAAGUCUCACACUUGUGAUGGUUGCUACGAUUAAGAUAAUGAAUGAAUCGGUUGCUGCUUUAUGCAUUCAGUUAAAUACACGACUUUUUUUGUAUUAGGCUGGCCAUUCUUAAUAGGAUAACGUUCAACCCCUAAUUUCUGAUUGCACUGAAAAAGUUGUUUUCUCGUGGUAAGAUAACCUUUCAGAUGCUGCUGUUCUGCAGGGACCUUAGCAUUUGAUGCAGAAUAUAGUCGAUGGUUAGAAGAACACAACAAACACAUCAAUGAAUUGAGAACCGCUGUCAAUUCACAUGCAAGUGACCCUGAACUGCGAAGUAUUGUGAAUAAUGUCACUGCACAUUACGAUGAGGUCUUUAGGGUGAAAGGAAAUGCAGCCAAGGCAGACGUAUUCCAUGUCUUGUCAGGGAUGUGGAAAACCCCUGCCGAGCGAUGUUUUAUGUGGAUUGGUGGCUUCCGCCCCUCGGAACUUCUUAAGGUGACCUCUUCUUGUUUUCAUGUGUUCAAUUUUGCAUCUGUUCUUGUAUAUUUCCAGUCUAGGCUUUUCCUGUAAAGGAUUAUAAAGAGCCGUUAUGCUGCUUGAUCAUGUAUGAAAAGGUCCUAUUAUUAGCAGGACUGAUAAGUUCUUAGUAGUGUGGAUUCAUUGAUUUAUGCCUGUGAAAAUUUACUUGCUAAAUAUUGGAUGGUUUCACUUUCCGAACGAAUGAGGUGCCGUGUAGUGUACAAUUGCAUUUUUAUGUCAUUAUCCUCUAUAACACCAUCACUGUAGUCUCGUGACCUUGGUUCUGUCAUUCUCCUUCAAAUGGCAUGGACUUACAUUUAUUGUACUGAAGCUUUUGAUUUUCUUCUUGUGUUCACUGGCAUAAUAGCGACUCUAAAGAAAACCUGAUGCCUAGAAGCAAAAACUUGGAUGAAAUUGUGUGAUUAUCUCUAUCCAUCCCGGAUGAGGUUUCCUGAGCUUCUCCAGCUUGGUGAUGUUAGCAGACUUCCAGUGGCAUCUGAUGUUAAAUAUGCUUUCACUCUGUCCGUUCACAGAUGUUUGUGCAGGAAUUAUAUCUGUGCUGUACAUUAUAUUUUCCUCUGUUCUUGUGUCAUUUGUUCACGCGUCAAUCAGAUGUUGACAAUUUAAGAACUUCAAGUUGCUUCUGUAGAUAACACCCUUCUGUGUAUGAGUUUCUUUAUAACCAAUUAGGGGCAUUAUUUCUUUAUAACUAUCUUAUCCGUAGGCUGAGAUUGUUCGACAUGUAAAGAGAAGGUGCGUGGAUGCGCCUGUAAGGGAGUGUGGGAAAUUCAUUGUUAACAAGGAGAGGGAGAGGUAGGCCGAGGAAGAACUGGGGAGGUGAUAAGACAAGACAUGAACUGCAGCUUAGUAGGUAGCGAGUACGUAAUGGAGUGUUGUCACGCUUUGUGUGUGAGAGGCAGGGCCUAGCCUCCUCUACGCUUCUCCUUAUUAGUAUUAUUAUUUAGUAAUCACGUAGUUUCCUUUACUUUAAUGUGUAUUGCUAUCUUUUGCUAUUCCUUUUCGUCAUUUGCUCUGUACCUUGCUAUUUUGUUGCUACCAUGCUUCAAAUUAUUUUCUUUUCUUUUGAGCCGAGGGUCUAUCAUAAACAACCUCUCUACCCACAAAGGUAGGGGUAAGGUCUGCGUACGUCCUACCCUCUCCUCUCCUGACUCCACUUGUGUGAUUACGCUGGGUAUGCUGUUGUCUCAUUUUUUGUGAAAUGAUUUCUUUGGUAAUGCAGCUUCUAGUCAAUCAGUUGGAGCCUCUGACCGAGCAACAGUUAGCUGGCAUUUACAACUUGCAGCAGUCAUCCCAUCAAGCAGAAGAUGCCCUUUCACAAGGUAUGGAGGCGUUGCAGCAAUCCUUGGCAGAGACAUUAGCUAACGGAUCUCCUGCUACUGAAGGGUCAUCAGGAGAUGUAGCUAAUUAUAUGGGUCAGAUGGCAAUGGCUAUGGGGAAAUUAGGGACUCUUGAAGGUUUUCUCCGUCAGGUAACUCUAUUUUUGCGGCUGCUUCCUUUUUUGUUUGUUUUAAUUGUUUACAAUAUAUAAGCUGCAAAUGCUCGUUCAGUUGUUUGAACAUGUGGAAGUCGGGGGCAAGCAAUUAUUGUUCUGGAGGUCUUUGUAACUGCAACCAGCAUGCAUUGCCCACAGAAUCUUCAGAAUGUCUUGUUUUUAUUGGUCUUUGGAAAAAAAAUGUCUGGAUACUUUGUCCUCUUUUAUGUCCUUUAAUGAGAUCAUAAAAUAACCGAAGGGUUAUGUUCUCCAACGUUCUUAAAUCAACAAUUGUCCUUCUGUCUCAUACUUGUAUCUCUCUUGUGAAUCAUAUGAUUCAAGACAGCCAGUCAAUGUUCAGAGAUUUCUGGUUUGUUAUAUUAGUUUUAUGUCGUCAGUGGAGGCAAAAUACGUGAAGCUAAACGUCGUUGCAUCUUUCUGGCUCUUUUAACAGGCGGACAACCUGCGUCAACAGACAUUGCAACAAAUGCAUCGCAUAUUGACAACCAGACAAUCAGCCCGUGCUCUUCUUGCAAUAAGUGAAUACUUCUCACGUCUUCGAGCUCUCAGCUCUCUUUGGCUUGCCAGACCACGAGAGCAAUAAGUAUGACAUGCAUUGCGAUAUUCUACUGAAACUCAGAUAUACUACUUCGAUACACUGGCCGGUAUAUGAGAUCCAGCAAAGUUACUCUUAUGUAUAAAGUGGUAUUGUAUGUGCUUGUGGAAGUGCAGAAUUUGUUUUCUUUCUCCUUAGGUUUAUAGAAUGCCAAAAUUUUACUUUGUGACUUAGGAACCAAUAAUGUACCUGUGUUUUUAGUUUUACAAGGAAAAAGUUUAGGGAUUUUUAAGAAGUGUAAUAGAUAUUUUUAGAAAGUUUUAUGCUUAAUCAAAUUAUAGCUUGUGACUACAAAAGUCUCUCUUCUGAUAUGUUGGAAAAUAUACAAGCAUAUUUCUGCAAGAAAUGUUAGAAUCUGUUGUUAUUUAUCUUUCCAUAAAAUCUAAUUACACCAACAAAACUUGUGAAAAAAUAAGGAUGAAUAUGUUGAUAUAUUUCUUUUUCUUCAUCUUUAUACUCCUGUUUUCUGAAUUAUAAAUGUCAUACUCUACUUUUCAAGGUCAAGUUGAAUUAUUUUGAAUAAAAAUAUGUAGAUUACUAGAUUGUUUAAAAUACUGAUAUCUCAAAUUGUCGAUGUAGUGAUGAAGAACGAUCACUUUAUUCAUAUAUUACAUUCAUCAAUAUGAUAUAUUAUCGAAAUAUACAUAUAAGUUCCAUUCAAACAAUGAAUUUUGUCCCACAUCAUCAUCAAGGAGAAAGCAGAGCAAAAGUUGUAGUACAAGUAAUGGGCUGAGCAGACUGGAAAACAUACUUACCUGGACGGGGUCAAUGGGCGAUCAAUAAGACCCAUGGCCUAGGCUUGUGACCUUCAUUGCACUUUGGAGGGGUGCCUGCCUAAGGUCGGCCCAAGUGGUCGAGCCUACGUCAUAAUUUGUUGCUGUGGGGGCCUGCGUUCGCGCGGCCCCUGCCCAAUACUAAGAUCUAAAUUUGUUUGGUCAUAUAUUAAGCACGGCUCUAUAAUUGGGCUCCAAAAUAUAUUAAAUUGUUAUAUUAUAUAUUAAGUGUGAAUAAAAAAAUAUAGAAAGAUAAAUUUAGUUUGAAUAUGUCAUAAUACAUUCAUAAAGAAAAAAAUUGGUUAAACAAAAUAAAAUGCUAAUAAGAAUUGCUCAUGUUAUAAAGUGAGUGAAAAUGUUAUGAAAAGUUGUUCAUAUAUGAAUUUAUUUCAACUGUUCUCAAUAUAGCUGUUGUUUCUAUACUUGAUUUUGAUGCUUCCUGUAUGUAUUUUGUUCUUUGUUGGAUUCUGGAUAUGAGCUUGUGUAUUACCGUGUUUGAUGUCAUUAUCCAUCACAGAACUCGGCCUUUGUCAGUGGUCUUCUAAUGUGACAUAAUGCUGUUUUGUUCUCGAUGAUAACUCCUGUCUGUGAUGUCGUAAGACACUUAUUUUGCUUGUAUCCGUAUAUGGCUAUACAGAUAACACUCCUGUUAGCUGCUACUGUAUAUACAUUUUCACGUAAGCUUAUAGACUCUUGUUGAAGACGCAGAAUAAGGUUCUGAACAAAAUGAACCUGACAUAAGUCCGAAGAAGUUGAAAACCAACAUGACCUGAGGAAGCUGGUGAUGCUGCAGCGAUGCUAUAUAAGAAAUGUGUGUGUAUUAUUAUAUAUGUUAUCGAUAAUUCAUCCUUUCUUAGAGAAGUUGCCUUGUUUAAUCAAGACAACAACUCUUCAGUUGAUUGAGCCAUAUCCAUUUUCUUUGGAUAAUGUAAUACAAGAACAGAAAGAUUCUGAAGGAAAUCGCGCUGCUGUUAACAGUUGCCAUUUUGUUGGCUUGUUGCUCUAUAUGUUACUGAUUACUCGGAGAGUAACACCGUUUUCGACUAAUUCUCCCACAUCAGCAUCUGAGAGAGAAGUGGAGUAAAGACAGUAGUAUUAGUAAUGAGCUGAGCAGGCUGGAAAACUUACUUACCUGGACGGGGUCAAUGGGCGAUCAAUAAGACCUAUGGCCUAGGCUUGUGACCUCCAUUGCACUUUGGAGGGGUGCCUGCCUAAGGUCGGCCCAAGUGGUCGAGCCUACGUCAUAAUUUGUUGCUAUGGGGGCCUGCGUUCGCGCAGCCCCUGCCCAAAUCUACGCCCAAAAAUUUCUCUGGCCCAUCUGAAUUUUACAAAAACAUAUGUUUUCUCUGCCCCAUCUGUUUGAUAUAAGAUUAUUUCGACUACAUUAUCAAACACAACGAUAAGUGAUGUCUAUAUGACUAACAAUCUAAAAGUGCCAUAAGUCAAAGAAGGCGCGAUAAUGAGUCUUGGCUUCAAAGAUCAAAUAUUUGUCUUGAAAAUACAAACCAGCUACAGUACUAUUACAUUGGGCCUGAUCUUAUGGGUAGCGAAUACCUUUAGCAGAUGCAGGAGCUUGUGGAUGAUUCCAAGAGUUUGUGCUGCAUAUUCUUAAGUUUGGCAAAGGCCAUUAGUCUAAAAACUAAUACCUGUUUGAAGGACUAGUUACAGAUUGCUAAGUUCUAGAUGACUUACUUCUACAGAAAUUGGUUUACUAGAACAAUUGUUUAUAUGGCAUUGGUGAGAGUUGCUUUGGCUGAUCGAUACAAAACGAAGAUCUGCUGAAACAGAUAAGGGUAUAGCUGGUUUGCUUAUGGUCCUUUGGUUUGUAAGAUCAAUGGCUAUACAGUUAACAUUUUCAUGUAAGACUGAAGAAGUUGAAAACUAACAUGACCUGAGGAAGCUGGUGAUGCUGCAGCGAUGCUAUAUAAGAAAUGUGUGUGUAUUAUAUACGUUGUCCAAAAUUCAUCCUUUCAUAGAGAACUUGACUUGUUUAAUUAAGACAACACUCUUCAGUUGAUUGAGCCAUAUCAUCCAUUUAUAACUCAAAAUCUGAUUUUAUUAAUGUCUCUUGAAUGCUCUCUUUGAGUAUAGACUUCAGUUUUUUCCUCCAUUUCUUUUGAUGAUUGCCAUGUUACCAGAGACUAACUUUUUGUUAUCUAUGCCGGGGAGAAUGUCAGCGUGUUGCUACUUAGUUUAGCGAUGUUGUAUAUGUUACUGAUUACUCGGAGAUUAACGCCAUUUUGGACUAAUUCUCCCACAUCAGUAUCUGAGAGAGAGAAGUGGAGCAAAAGCAGUAGUAUUAAUAAUGGGCUGAGCUCACUGGAUUACAUACUUACCUGGACGGGGUCAAUGGGCGAUCAAUAAGACCUAUGGCCUAGGCUUGUGACCUUCAUUGCACUUUGGAGGGGUGCCUGCCUAAGGUCGGCCCAAGUGGUCGAGCCUACGUCACAAUUUGUUGCUGCGGGAGCCUGCGUUCGCGCGGCCCCUACCCAAACCUAAGUAAAAAUGUUCAUCUCUUUAGUUGAUUGAGUAGAGUAAUGCAUAUCUUAUUUAUUUAAAAUACCU
RNAcentral lists this long non-coding RNA (43681 nucleotides) under Solanum lycopersicum (tomato). RNAcentral describes it as "long non-coding RNA (SLYC_LNC000830)". The stretch from base 41091 to 41251 matches the Rfam family "U1 spliceosomal RNA". The record is from RNAcentral. Lineage: Eukaryota; Viridiplantae; Streptophyta; Magnoliopsida; Solanales; Solanaceae.